This 820-nucleotide long non-coding RNA is filed under the name Sinocyclocheilus grahami. RNAcentral's name for it is "lncRNA (ENSSGRG00000014750.1)". The record is from RNAcentral. Lineage: Eukaryota; Metazoa; Chordata; Actinopteri; Cypriniformes; Cyprinidae.
AAUGGAUCCAUCCAUCCAUUCUUCAGUGAUGAGAGAGUGAAUCCAAUGUGGCUUUACCAGCCUUACCAGCACUUUCUGAGGAAGUCUGCUGUUUCCAGCCCACCUCCCCUGUCCCCUUCCUUUCCAUACCUCUCUCAAAGCAUAUCGUGUUGGACACGCUUGGCUUGACACAUAAGGAUGUUAUGUUUCCCUUCAGUGACCUCACACUCUUCAAGGCUAUUGACUACGUUUUUCCACAAUGUUCUUGAGCGAGACCACAAAAGAGCCAGUCGGGGGGAAUGCAAGCCGUGACACGCUCCGAGCUUUUCAGGUGCUGUCAGAGAUUUUAUGGCUGUGUGGAGCGAUUCAGCUGGGAGGAAGUAAACACCAGAUAUUGUGAAGCAAAAGAAAAGCACCCCACCCCUUCGAUGGAUCUGAUUCAAAAGAAAGGCCGUGUUUCCAUAAACAGAGCGCUGCACAGACAGGCUGUCUGAGGUCUGAUAAGGAGUCGUGAGAGAGGACACUGAUGGGGAGUGAAAGAGAGGAGGAAGUUUUCCCAUGUUCAGCUAAAACGACAAUGAGCAACCUCCACCCUGUCAUAAAUAAGGCACAUUGAGAUGGCAGAGAGAAAGACACAGCGAUGUAGAGGCAUUUGCAAUGAAUGUAUACCCUGCUGAAAGACCAGCAUGAUUUUUUACAGGUUAUGUGUUGUUUGAGUGCUGGUUGGAUUAGUACACCUGAAAGUGAAAUUUCUACUAUUUACUCUCCCUUAUGUCAUUUCAAAUAUGAUUCUGAUGAAUUAUACUGGUCUGUAAUGGCUGCAUUGGCUGCAAUGAAUUGG